UACAGGACAGAAAUUUGUGGUGGAUAAAGAGGCGAGAGCCAACAAGUAAUUGAUCUCUUUUCCUAAUGGUCGAACAACUGCAGCUUCAGUUUAAGCAAUAAGAGCCAUAUUCAGGUUAGAGAUAUGUUAGAAACACUAAUGCCAUUCGCGAUAUAACCUAUUUUCAGCCCAGGGUUCUUAAGUUUUGUUUUCUGGAUUUGACAGAAAUUCAAUCAAUUUUUUGAGGAAUUUUGAUGAAAAAAUUGAACGCAUUUUGCUUUUGGCUCAAUUUGACAUGUCACUACCUUUUUACUAAUUGUAAAUAUAUCUGUGGUCACAGAAAUCAUCAUAAAUUUGGAUUCUCUUGAAUAAAGUUUCUGGGGAAAAGAGCACUCUGGUUCAGCCCAGUUCAGUAUCCAUAAACAUAGUGUAAUGUUCAGGGUUCAGUGUAUGAGCAUAGCUACUUGAGCUCAAUACCAGUUUAGCACUAGGAUCUCCGACUGGUACCGCGCAUGGUAACAAUAUACAGAAUUAGAGUAUAUAUGCGCUUACUGUAGAAACUUUACUUUUUUGUAAUGGGCAGCAAUCUAGAUUUAGUUGGUUCAGCGGUGAGGAGAGAGUAUGAUUGAUCCGAGUGCUAAACUGGUAGGCAGACCAACCGGUGGAGAUGGAGAGGAACAUGGAACAAAUUUGGGGAGGAAGAGAGAAGGCAGGAGAGAUAUCAAGUACUCCCUCCGUUCUGAAUUACUUGUCGCACGUAUGGAUGUAUCUAGAUGUAUUUUAGUUCUAGAUACAUCCAUUUCAGCGACGAGUAAUUUGGAACGGAGGGAGUAGUAAUAUUGUUUAACAAUCUGCAGCUUAAUCAUCUUACAAAUACCAAUCAUAUCCCCUUUCUCACUCUAUAGCAAAUAGAUCAGGACCUGGGCUUUGUUAUUCUCCUGAUUCUGAAAGUUAACCACUUGAUCUUUUAUUGCUUAAAUAGUGUACUCACGUACUGUCCGAUUGACGCAUCAGUGUAGGAACCAGGUUUAGUUAUAAAGAAAAAUCAAGAUUUGUAAAUUAACAAAUACAACGAUGUUUGGUUGCUGGACACGAAGGUACUUCCAUAUUUUCACCAUGAAUACUGGAAUAGUUCAUCUAAUUCGAGUGGUAACUAAUGUAAUUUACGAAAAUAACCAAGUCAAAUGAGAAAUCUAAGAAGCAAAAAACACCAGCUGUUGUCAGGAAUGCUUCUGUUACCUUUUUGCAUACAAUCACCAAAUGCUUGCCAAGAUCAUGAUUCAUUGAACAUCCGUAGGCUGAAUAGUGUUUGCUAGCAGAGACCUAUAAAGUGUAUUUAGAAAAAACAAUGCGUGAAAUGAGGCAUCGAUGUACAAUUGCAUUGACAUUUGUUCUUUCGUAACCAAUAGUUUUACAUGGCACUAUUAAUUUAGCUAGGAGUUCAGUUCCAUCAGUUUUGUUCUAAUGUUUUGUUCAUUUAUUUAUUUUUGCGGGAUAACAUUACUAUUUUCUAUUCGAACAUACGGAGAAACAGCACAAGGUGUCAUCCCAGCGGAUAAUAUUAGUAAAUUUAAGAUCAGAAUUCGAGAAGGAGUGAUCUACACGAUCCAGCAUUACCUGAUUCUGAGAGCAAAUGAAAAAUACAGAGCCACUGAUCAUCCUUUCAGGCUUUCUUUUAUUAAUACAAAUACUGUGUGUCCCGUCAACCCUCAGCCUCCUGGUUUUCCUCUCAUCGCUCAUAAUGCUCUUCCAUUCUCGGAACUAGAAAAACGAAUCGGAUAAAAUGUGCUUAUGUCAGGUUAGUUGGUACACAUCUUUAUCUAGGAAUGUACCUGCUUUAAAAAUCUGUGCUAUUUUACUCUAAAGUUAUACUGUGUGUCUAAAACUUGCAGAUGUAAUUGGUGGAAUUACCGGAAUCAUGGAUUUUCUUCCUCCUACUGUAAAUGCACGGGAGCCAAGACGUCAAAUCUUUAUUACCAAUCGACAAUAUAUCAUUUUCUCACAUUUACAGCAGUGUACAUCAUCCAUGAAUGACCACUUCUACAAAAUCCAGCAACUUAACUAGUUAUGCAGGAGACACGCAAUCGUUAUGCUUUGGGGAGAUUUUGUACAGUCCUUUGAUGCAGACACACUGCGCUCCUGAGCCCUGGCCAAGAGGGAACCCGUUUUGGUACUGUUUGUUGGGGUCAUGGUAGAUCGGUAUGCAGAGGCUGAAGACCAGACCGACCCACCUUUUGCCGAGUUUACUUUCUUUGGGCAGCAAGAACUAAUAACCGAAACAACUGCAGCAGCCCAUCCGAAGGGGUUCGCCACCUGAAAUAGAGAGGCUUCGCGGCAAGAAAUUAAUUACUACAUUCACUACAAAUGAUAAGACUCUGAGAGCCAGUCUUCUGCCAUUUCAAAGUGUAAGCAAUAGAUCACUUAGAAAACGAAAGACCACUUGCACAGUUUCUGAUGCGUAAUCCAGCAGCAGUUCCAGACAUUCAUGGCUCUUCAUCCUCUGCAUCUGCAACAAUUGAAGGUCAUCUUGCAACACAACCGCCUAUUAAGGACGGUCAGCAGAGUAAUUCACCAUCUGAAUCAGAAUCAGCUGAGCCACUUAAUGACAAGAUAGGCUCAAGUGACAAGAAAAGGUCAGCAGAAAGCAACAAGCUUGCGGACACAUAGGCGAACAAGAGCCUGCAGCAAAAGAGUUGUUCCAUGCAGCAACCGCCCAGGAAAGUGGAGCUACUACAGAGAAGUAGACCACCUCUCGAAUGUAGUUCUAUCCAGUAGUCACACCAGGCACAUUCUAUUAUGUAUAUGAACCAAGAUGUAGAUAUGCAUUUAUGCCCGUCGAACUAAGUAGGUCGUGUUAGUAUCUUCUGUUGCACAAGCGUACUGUGAGCCUUAAGCAUGUCGUUUGCAUCGCAAUAACAUCCUUUUGGCCAGAUUGUUGUAAACGCCUUCCUAGACAUGGACAUGUAU
This is a long non-coding RNA of Triticum aestivum (bread wheat), 2946 nucleotides long. RefSeq lists it as uncharacterized. The record is from RefSeq and is a predicted model, not a curated record. Lineage: Eukaryota; Viridiplantae; Streptophyta; Magnoliopsida; Poales; Poaceae. The transcript has 4 exons.